RNAcentral lists this unclassified non-coding RNA (282 nucleotides) under plant metagenome. RNAcentral describes it as "partial contains small subunit ribosomal RNA, internal transcribed spacer 1, and 5.8S ribosomal RNA". The stretch from base 235 to 282 matches the Rfam family "5.8S ribosomal RNA", at positions 1 to 49 of the family's 154-position model. The record is from RNAcentral.
UUUCCGUAGGUGAACCUGCGGAAGGAUCAUUAUUGUAUAACCGAGGUGCGUGGGCUGUCGCUGACCCGAAAGGUCGUGCACGCCCGAGUGCCCUCACACACAUCCAUCUCACCCCUAUGUGCACCACCGCGUGGGUCCCCCUUUGGCUUGUUCGGAGGGGGGCUUACGUUUUCACACAAACUUUGUAUGCAGUGUAGAAUGUAUUUUUUGUUUUUGCGAUCACGCAAUCAAUACAACUUUCAACAACGGAUCUCUUGGCUCUCGCAUCGAUGAGAACGCAGC